RNAcentral lists this unclassified non-coding RNA (378 nucleotides) under uncultured Gammaproteobacteria bacterium. Its description in RNAcentral is "contains 16S-23S intergenic spacer region". Lineage: Bacteria; Pseudomonadati; Pseudomonadota; Gammaproteobacteria. The record is from RNAcentral.
UCCGGUUUGUCACCGGCAGUCUCCGUUAAGUGCCCAACUUAAUGAUGGCAACAACGGACAAGGGUUGCGCUCGUUGCGGGACUUAACCCAACAUCUCACGACACGAGCUGACGACAGCCAUGCAGCACCUGUGCGCACAUUCUCUUGCGAGCACUCCUUCAUCUCUGAAAGAUUUGUACCAUGUCAAGGGUAGGUAAGGUUUUUCGCGUUGCAUCGAAUUAAUCCACAUCAUCCACCGCUUGUGCGGGUCCCCGUCAAUUCCUUUGAGUUUUAAUCUUGCGACCGUACUCCCCAGGCGGUCAACUUCCCGCGUUAGCUGCGUUACCAAAGCCUAUCUAGCUCCAACAACUAGUUGACAUCGUUUAGGGCGUGGACUAC